Molecule: long non-coding RNA, 596 nt
Organism: Cyprinus carpio carpio
Lineage: Eukaryota; Metazoa; Chordata; Actinopteri; Cypriniformes; Cyprinidae
Source: Ensembl
CCCUCUUCCCCAAUUUAAAUAGCUUUGGAUACGUUUCACAAGCAACAUCUGUUUUGACCACAGCUGUUUCAGAUGUAACGGUACAUCGGAUAAUUGUUAUUGUUGUAAAUAUGUGCAGGCCGGAGUGUGGUUGUCAGUCAGUGGUGUACAGACCGAUUUCUCGGUAAUUAACGCGGUGCUGAAAUUGGAGAGAUGUGGAGGUGGUGAAUUUGCUCCGCACCCGCCAAUCUGCCAGUCAGAGGGAUGCUGAAAAAUUUCGGUUUGAGAUAUGAAAUGAAGAAUAUCUUACGUGUCUUUGCUGAUGCGCUUCGGAGGAUGCUUCGCUGGAGAUGACAGCCCGUCUUCUUCUCGCCAUGUGCUGUAACAAAAGCAUCCCAUGCAUCCGAAGCCUGUCCCUUUAAAGCCUUGCUGCAUCCCUGCAGGUGGCCUGUCAAUUUAGCGGAUCCGAAUGACGUCACUGCAUGGCUGGAAAAGCUUGAAUGAGCAACAUUUGAAGCUUGCUGAAUCUUGCCUGAAGAGGAGCAGAAUAUGCAUGAAUAUAAGUCACAAUAUGUAAUCAAUUGGAAAUAAAUGCAUCCAGAACAGAAGGAAUUGUG